Molecule: long non-coding RNA, 209 nt
Filed under: Glycine max (soybean)
Lineage: Eukaryota; Viridiplantae; Streptophyta; Magnoliopsida; Fabales; Fabaceae
Description: long non-coding RNA (GMAX_LNC002700)
Source: RNAcentral
AACCAUGCAGAAAGUAGUUAACGUUUUUAAUGGAGGAAAACGAAAGAGUGGUUAAAAAUAAAACUUUCAAAAAACAUUAAAAAAAUAUUAUUUUUAAAAAUUAAUAUAGCAAAAAUAAAAAUUUGAAAAAUGCAUGCCCUCAAGACAAAGCUUUUCAACUAACGACAAGUCCCUUUUCUCCCACUAACGAAACCCUAGUCAGAUUUUUG